This 519-nucleotide ribosomal RNA is filed under the name uncultured Bacteroidota bacterium. RNAcentral's name for it is "bacterial SSU rRNA". It matches the Rfam family "Bacterial small subunit ribosomal RNA", at positions 889 to 1410 of the family's 1533-position model. The record is from RNAcentral. Lineage: Bacteria; Pseudomonadati; Bacteroidota.
CAACGGUGAAACUCAAAGGAAUUGACGGGGGCCCGCACAAGCGGAGGAACAUGUGGUUUAAUUCGAUGAUACACGAGGAACCUUACCCGGGCUUGAAUUGCAAAUGAACGGCGUGGAGACAUGCCGGCCGCAAGGCAUUUGUGAAGGUGCUGCAUGGUUGUCGUCAGCUCGUGCCGUGAGGUGUCGGCUUAAGUGCCAUAACGAGCGCAACCCUUACCGAUAGUUACCAUCAGGUGGUGCUGGGGACUCUGUCGGGACUGCCGUCGUAAGAUGCGAGGAAGGCGGGGAUGACGUCAAAUCAGCACGGCCCUUACGUCCGGGGCUACACACGUGUUACAAUGGGGGGUACAGAAGGCAGCUACACGGCGACGUGAGGCUAAUCCCUAAAUCCUCUCUCAGUUCGGAUUGGAGUCUGCAACCCGACUCCAUGAAGCUGGAUUCGCUAGUAAUCGCGCAUCAGCCACGGCGCGGUGAAUACGUUCCCGGGCCUUGUACACACCGCCCGCCAAGCCAUGAAAG